This 555-nucleotide ribosomal RNA is filed under the name Aspergillus fischeri. Its description in RNAcentral is "eukaryotic LSU rRNA". The stretch from base 184 to 337 matches the Rfam family "5.8S ribosomal RNA". Lineage: Eukaryota; Fungi; Ascomycota; Eurotiomycetes; Eurotiales; Aspergillaceae. The record is from RNAcentral.
GAGUGAGGGCCCUCUGGGUCCAACCUCCCACCCGUGUCUAUCGUACCUUGUUGCUUCGGCGGGCCCGCCGUUUCGACGGCCGCCGGGGAGGCCUCGCGCCCCCGGGCCCGCGCCCGCCGAAGACCCCAACAUGAACGCUGUUCUGAAAGUAUGCAGUCUGAGUUGAUUAUCAUAAUCAGUUAAAACUUUCAACAACGGAUCUCUUGGUUCCGGCAUCGAUGAAGAACGCAGCGAAAUGCGAUAAGUAAUGUGAAUUGCAGAAUUCAGUGAAUCAUCGAGUCUUUGAACGCACAUUGCGCCCCCUGGUAUUCCGGGGGGCAUGCCUGUCCGAGCGUCAUUGCUGCCCUCAAGCACGGCUUGUGUGUUGGGCCCCCGUCCCCUCUCCCGGGGACGGGCCCGAAAGGCAGCGGCGGCACCGCGUCCGGUCCUCGAGCGUAUGGGGCUUUGUCACCCGCUCUGUAGGCCCGGCCGGCGCCAGCCGACACCCAACUUUAUUUCUAAGGUUGACCUCGGAUCAGGUAGGGAUACCCGCUGAACUUAAGCAUAUCAAUAACC